UAAGUGAAUACGUUUCAGAUAUAUUGAUGAAGCAAUAUAGACUGGUUCGGUUUCUUAUCUUCCUCUUAUCAAUUUUUAUAUGCUUCGUCACAAUCCAUUCUCAAUGCCCACCAACACUACCUGCGCCUCAACGAAUGCCACCACCACCACCACCACCUGGCCCAUCUUCAAAGCCAUGUCCACCGCAAGGCACAUAUAAAUUCCCACCUGCUCCUCAACCGGUGCCAUCACUAGCACCUUGCACAUGUCCGUGUCCAUCAGACCCAUCUCCAAGACAAGAGCCACCAAAGAACGUUACCGUACCGGCAUUGUUUGUAUUUGGGGAUUCGCUCGUAGACACAGGAAAUAACAAUAACGUAAGCACACCUCUGAGGUGUAAUUUUCGACCAUACGGUAUCGAUUUCUUACAAGGUGUUCCCACUGGUCGGUACUCCGAUGGCAAAGUCCCUUCCGAUUUUUUAGGUUCUUUCCUUUGGCCUUUUUCUCCUUUUCUUCUUACAGUUAACUCUAGUAAGUCGAGUUUUGCUAGUUUUCUUUUAGUAAAAAACAAAGUUGAUUAUGUAAAUUGAAGCCCCGAUUGUUUGUAUGGAUUUACGUAUAAACAAGUGUUUGCAUUUCCAUGUUAAAAUAAACAUGCAUGGAAUGCAUACGUAAAAUGCAUGCAAGCAUACAAAUAAUCGGUGGAUUCGUAUAAUAUACAUCUCUGUUUAAUAAAUGCGUUGAACGAAUAUGAUUUCUACUAGAACUUUUUUUAUUAUAUAUUUAUCAGUUGGAAUAUAAUAAUAUAUGCUAUUAUGUUUAGCAAAAAAAAAUAUGUGCUAUUUUUUUUUCUUUUUUAAAAUACAUUUUGAUUUCAUCUUUAUUUUGCAGCGGAGUAUUUGGGGAUAAAAUCGGUCGUACCAGCAUAUAUGGAUCCAAAAUUACAACCAGAUGAUUUACUCACCGGUGUAUGCUUCGCUUCGGGUGGUAGUGGUUACAUUCCUAUGACACCCACAUAUUUGGUAAACUCGAAUUAGUCUCCUCUCACCACCACUUGGUUACUGAAUUGGGUUUGAUUACCAAAAAUAAGUUGUUGGUCGUGUCUCAUGUGGGUGUUGCUUCCCCUUUUGUGUGUAUAUUAAAGUCUUUUGAGUGAUGGAACUGUCUUUACCUUCAACGUCUUUGAUCAUAGACAUGCUUCAAAAGUUUUAAUAUUAUAUAUAUGAUUUCAUUGUUCACGUGACUGAGCACUGCUCAAUUAAACAAUUCAAGAUUAUACAUGAAUUUCUGCUAUUCGCUAAUAAACCAGUUCAUAGUAUAAUCUUGAAAAUUAUGGACACAUCUUGAAAUCGCAGAAAUUAAUUGAUGCCAUGGUAAUGUGCUUUACCGCAGUUAAAGCUAAAUAUUAGGAAGUUUCAAAAUGUGUGAACAAAAAAGACACACAACCAGCUCCAUACACGGUCACAUGCAUAGCAUGUCCAAAUCAAUUUUUAUAUAUUGACUUGAUAGCCAAACACAUAAGCAAAUAAGUGAAUACAUUUCAUAUAGUGAUGAAGCAAUAUAGACUGGUUCGGUUUCUUAUCUUCCUCUUAUCAAUUUUUAUAUGCUUCGUCACAAUCCAUUCUCAAUGCCCACCAACACUACCUGCGCCUCAACGAAUGCCACCACCACCACCACCACCUGGCCCAUCUUCAAAGCCAUGUCCACCGCAAGGCACAUAUAAAUUCCCACCUGCUCCUCAACCGGUGCCAUCACUAGCACCUUGCACAUGUCCGUGUCCAUCAGACCCAUCUCCAAGACAAGAGCCACCAAAGAACGUUACCGUACCGGCAUUGUUUGUAUUUGGGGAUUCGCUCGUAGACACAGGAAAUAACAAUAACGUAAGCACACCUCUGAGGUGUAAUUUUCGACCAUACGGUAUCGAUUUCUUACAAGGUGUUCCCACUGGUCGGUACUCCGAUGGCAAAGUCCCUUCCGAUUUUUUAGGUUCUUUCCUUUGGCCUUUUUCUCCUUUUCUUCUUACAGUUAACUCUAGUAAGUCGAGUUUUGCUAGUUUUCUUUUAGUAAAAAACAAAGUUGAUUAUGUAAAUUGAAGCCCCGAUUGUUUGUAUGGAUUUACGUAUAAACAAGUGUUUGCAUUUCCAUGUUAAAAUAAACAUGCAUGGAAUGCAUACGUAAAAUGCAUGCAAGCAUACAAAUAAUCGGUGGAUUCGUAUAAUAUACAUCUCUGUUUAAUAAAUGCGUUGAACGAAUAUGAUUUCUACUAGAACUUUUUUUAUUAUAUAUUUAUCAGUUGGAAUAUAAUAAUAUAUGCUAUUAUGUUUAGCAAAAAAAAAUAUGUGC
RNAcentral lists this long non-coding RNA (2322 nucleotides) under Brassica napus (rape). RNAcentral's name for it is "long non-coding RNA (BNAP_LNC002989)". Lineage: Eukaryota; Viridiplantae; Streptophyta; Magnoliopsida; Brassicales; Brassicaceae. The record is from RNAcentral.